UGGGGAAUCUUUGACAAUGGGCGAAAGCCUGAUCCAGCCACGCCGCGUGUGUGAAGAAGGUCUUCGGAUUGUAAAGCACUUUAAGUUGUGAGCAAGCGCAUUAAGCUAAUACCUUGCUGUUUUGACGUUACCGACAGAAUAAGCACCGGCUACCUCUGUGCCAGCAGCCGCGGUAAUACAGAGGGCGCAAGCGUUUAUCGGAAUUACUGGGCGUAAAGCGCGCGUAGGUGGUUCGUUAAGUUGAAUGUGAAAGCCCCGGGCUCAACCUGGGAACUGCAUCGAAAACUAGCGAGCUAGAGUAGGGCAGAGGGUGGUGGAAGUGCCGGUGUAGCGGUGAAAUGCGUAGAUAUAGGAAGGAACACCAGUGGCGAAGGCGACCACCUGGGCUAAUACUGACACUGAGGUGCGAAAGCGUGGGGAGCAAACAGG
RNAcentral lists this ribosomal RNA (429 nucleotides) under Pseudomonadota bacterium. Its description in RNAcentral is "Proteobacteria bacterium partial 16S ribosomal RNA". It matches the Rfam family "Bacterial small subunit ribosomal RNA", at positions 355 to 776 of the family's 1533-position model. Lineage: Bacteria; Pseudomonadati; Pseudomonadota. The record is from RNAcentral.